UGGCGGCAGGCCUAACACAUGCAAGUCGAGCGGAAACGAGUUAUCUGAACCUUCGGGGAACGAUAACGGCGUCGAGCGGCGGACGGGUGAGUAAUGCCUAGGAAAUUGCCUUGAUGUGGGGGAUAACCAUUGGAAACGAUGGCUAAUACCGCAUGAUGCCUACGGGCCAAAGAGGGGGACCUUCGGGCCUCUCGCGUCAAGAUAUGCCUAGGUGGGAUUAGCUAGUUGGUGAGGUAAUGGCUCACCAAGGCGACGAUCCCUAGCUGGUCUGAGAGGAUGAUCAGCCACACUGGAACUGAGACACGGUCCAGACUCCUACGGGAGGCAGCAGUGGGGAAUAUUGCACAAUGGGCGCAAGCCUGAUGCAGCCAUGCCGCGUGUAUGAAGAAGGCCUUCGGGUUGUAAAGUACUUUCAGCAGUGAGGAAGGGGGUGUCGUUAAUAGCGGCAUUUCUUGACGUUAGCUGCAGAAGAAGCACCGGCUAACUC
This 487-nucleotide ribosomal RNA is filed under the name marine sediment bacterium ISA-2737. RNAcentral's name for it is "bacterial SSU rRNA". It matches the Rfam family "Bacterial small subunit ribosomal RNA", at positions 37 to 503 of the family's 1533-position model. The record is from RNAcentral.